AUUGAACGCUGGCGGCAUGCCUUACACAUGCAAGUCGAACGGUAACGGGCCUUCGGGUGCCGACGAGUGGCGAACGGGUGAGUAAUGCAUCGGAACGUACCUUCAGUGGGGGAUAACGUAGCGAAAGUUACGCUAAUACCGCAUAUUCUGUGAGCAGGAAAGCAGGGGGAUCGCAAGACCUUGCGCUGAUUGAGCGGCCGAUGUCAGAUUAGCUAGUUGGUGAGGUAAAGGCUCACCAAGGCGACGAUCUGUAGCGGGUCUGAGAGGAUGAUCCGCCACACUGGAACUGAGACACGGUCCAGACUCCUACGGGAGGCAGCAGUGGGGAAUUUUGGACAAUGGGGGCAACCCUGAUCCAGCCAUGCCGCGUGAGUGAAGAAGGCCUUCGGGUUGUAAAGCUCUUUCGGCCGGGAAGAAAUCGCAUGGGUUAAUACCCUGUGCGGAUGACGGUACCGGCAUAAGAAGCACCGGCUAACUACGUG
This 482-nucleotide ribosomal RNA is filed under the name uncultured bacterium. RNAcentral's name for it is "bacterial SSU rRNA". It matches the Rfam family "Bacterial small subunit ribosomal RNA", at positions 30 to 507 of the family's 1533-position model. The record is from RNAcentral.